AAACUACAUCACCCUUCUACAGUUGUUCUGUGGAGACUUCAGUAUUCAGAAUAACAGAAUUCUAGAAUUGAAAGAAAACUCAACAGACUUUCAGACCAACCCAUACCUCAAAGGAAUCCCUAUUCUAACAUAAUCAACAGUAUAUUCCAGCAUUGAUGACAGAUCUCCAAGGAGGGAGAGUCUACAACUUCCUGAGGCAUCCACUUCCAGUCCUUCAGACACCCCAACACUGGCUGUGCUGAAAAGCAAGAAGAAUGUUCUCCUUGAAGGAAAAUUAUUUCCUCAAGUUUCAUGAACUGGUGUUGAAAAGAACAUGCUGCAACCAAACCAUCAGUUGCAGAGAAUGUAUCAAUUCAGAUUGUCAAAGGAAGUUCUUUCCCUGGCACUCCUUACACAAUGAGUCUGGUGUAAAAGAAAAUAUAGUAACAAUAUUAUAUAUGUAUUCCUACAAUGUAAUUAUAUUGCUAUAAUAUAACAUUCUCUUAUAGUAAUAGUCCACCUUUCUAUUGUACUCUUAAGGCUUAUGAUAGCUUUCCUUAACAAUGAUCCUUUGAGGCAAGUAGUGAAAAAUCCAUUGUCUACUUUUUAGGCAAUAUAUAUCAACCUGGGCCAUCCUCUCUACUAUCGAGGUACAAACACCAGGGCCGAAGAAAACUGGGUUUAGAAACAAUCGUAGAGUCCAGGGACAGUAUAUCUGCAUGCAAAAUCUGUCUUUGCU
This 718-nucleotide long non-coding RNA is filed under the name Monodelphis domestica (gray short-tailed opossum). RNAcentral's name for it is "lncRNA (ENSMODG00000040568.1)". The record is from RNAcentral. Lineage: Eukaryota; Metazoa; Chordata; Mammalia; Didelphimorphia; Didelphidae.